RNAcentral lists this ribosomal RNA (465 nucleotides) under Phenacephorus auriculatus. RNAcentral describes it as "partial 16S large subunit ribosomal RNA". The stretch from base 1 to 157 matches the Rfam family "Archaeal large subunit ribosomal RNA", at positions 1893 to 2097 of the family's 2987-position model. The record is from RNAcentral. Lineage: Eukaryota; Metazoa; Arthropoda; Insecta; Phasmatodea; Lonchodidae.
UGUUUAACAAAAACAUCUCUUGUUGAAAUUUAUUUUAAGUAUGGCCUGCCCAAUGAUUUAUUUAAUGGCCGCGGUAAUUUGACCGUGCAAAGGUAGCAUAAUCAUUAGUUUAUUAAUUGUGAACUUGUAUGAAUGGUUUAACGAAACAUUUUCUGUCUUAUUUGUAUUGAUUGAAAUUAAAUAUUAAGUUAAAAUGCUUAGAUUUUCUUAUUAGACGAGAAGACCCUAUAGAUCUUUAUUAUUUUUGGUUUAAUUUAUUUUAGUUUUUUUAUUUUUUAAAAAAGAAUUAUUUUUGUUGGGGUGAUGGUAGAAUAUGUAUAACUUCUAUUUUUUUUUUUACAUUUAUUUUUGGUUAGUUGAAUUUUUAUUUUGUUUGAAAGAUUUAGAUACCUUAGGGAUAACAGCGUAAUUUUUUUUGAGAGUUCUUAUUGACAGAGAAGAUUGCGACCUCGAUGUUGGAUUAAA